Molecule: small RNA, 237 nt
Filed under: Meriones unguiculatus (Mongolian gerbil)
Lineage: Eukaryota; Metazoa; Chordata; Mammalia; Rodentia; Muridae
Description: 7SK RNA (ENSMUGG00000010246.1)
Rfam family: 7SK RNA
About the family: 7SK was discovered as an abundant small nuclear RNA in the mid-70s but a possible function has only recently been suggested.
Source: RNAcentral
GGGCAUGAAGGUGAUCGGGCUGUGAUAUGGGUUCAUUCGGCAGAUCCAACUGGCUGGGUAGGUAUCUCCCUUCUUCCUCCCCCUUCUACAAGAGCCUCACCUGAAGAUGAUCGUUCAAUUAAAGAGGAUGACCCUCCAUGGACAGAGAAGGGCCCAGACUUCAAUUAAGGGUAUAUAAAUGGCUGUGCUCCCUAUGAGGACAACCAGAGAAGCUCCCAAGGCUAAAAUAUGCCAUUG